AAUAAUCUUAUUUUUCGUUUUUACGUGUCCAACGUUUGACCAUUAUCUUAUUUGAAAUUAUUUUUGCGAAUAAUAUUGUUAUUGUUACUAGAUGAUAAAAUAUGAAUAGUACUUUAUACGUGACUAAUUUUUUUUAAGUUUUUGUACAAAAUUUUCAAAUAGUGGUUAAACGUUGGACACGAAAAAAC
This 188-nucleotide microRNA precursor is filed under the name Oryza brachyantha (malo sina). RNAcentral's name for it is "MIR812 microRNA precursor family". The stretch from base 20 to 188 matches the Rfam family "MIR812 microRNA precursor family", at positions 19 to 190 of the family's 205-position model. The record is from Rfam by way of RNAcentral. Lineage: Eukaryota; Viridiplantae; Streptophyta; Magnoliopsida; Poales; Poaceae.